GUAUAAGAGACAGCAGCAGCCACGGUAAUACAGAGGGUGCGAGCGUUAAUCGGAUUUACUGGGCGUAAAGCGUGCGUAGGCGGCUUCUUAAGUCGGAUGUGAAAUCCCUGAGCUUAACUUAGGAAUUGCAUUCGAUACUGGGAAGCUAGAGUAUGGGAGAGGAUGGUAGAAUUCCAGGUGUAGCGGUGAAAUGCGUAGAGAUCUGGAGGAAUACCGAUGGCGAAGGCAGCCAUCUGGCCUAAUACUGACGCUGAGGUACGAAAGCAUGGGGAGCAAACAGGAUUAGAUACCCCAGUAGUCCCUGUCUCUUAUAA
This 314-nucleotide ribosomal RNA is filed under the name uncultured bacterium. Its description in RNAcentral is "partial 16S ribosomal RNA". It matches the Rfam family "Bacterial small subunit ribosomal RNA", at positions 495 to 809 of the family's 1533-position model. The record is from RNAcentral.